AUACGGAGGGGGCAAGCGUUAUUCGGAUUUAUUGGGCGUAAAGGGCGCGUAGGCGGCUUGAUAAGUCAAAGGUGAAAUCCCUCGGCUCAACCGAGGAACUGCCUUUGAAACUGUCUGGCUAGAGUCCGGGAGAGGGUAGUGGAAUUCCCAGUGUAGCGGGGAAAUGCGUAGAUAUUGGGAGGAACACCAGUGGCGAAGGCGACUACCUGGACCGGUACUGACGCUGAGGCGCGAAAGCGUGGGGAGCAAACAGGAGUAGAAACCCCGGUAGUCC
RNAcentral lists this ribosomal RNA (274 nucleotides) under uncultured bacterium. RNAcentral's name for it is "partial 16S ribosomal RNA". It matches the Rfam family "Bacterial small subunit ribosomal RNA", at positions 523 to 796 of the family's 1533-position model. The record is from RNAcentral.